GAUGAACGCUGGCGGCGUGCCUAAUACAUGCAAGUCGAGCGAACAGAUGAGAAGCUUGCUUCUCUGAUGUUAGCGGCGGACGGGUGAGUAACACGUGGGUAACCUACCUAUAAGACUGGGAUAACUCCGGGAAACCGGGGCUAAUACCGGAUAAUAUUUUGAACCGCAUGGUUCAAUAGUGAAAGACGGUUUCGGCUGUCACUUAUAGAUGGACCCGCGCCGUAUUAGCUAGUUGGUAAGGUAACGGCUUACCAAGGCGACGAUACGUAGCCGACCUGAGAGGGUGAUCGGCCACACUGGAACUGAGACACGGUCCAGACUCCUACGGGAGGCAGCAGUAGGGAAUCUUCCGCAAUGGGCGAAAGCCUGACGGAGCAACGCCGCGUGAGUGAUGAAGGUCUUCGGAUCGUAAAACUCUGUUGUUAGGGAAGAACAAAUUUGUUAGUAACUGUACAAGUCUUGACAGUACCUAACCAGAAAGCCACGGCUAACUACGUGCCAGCAGCCGCGGUAA
This 514-nucleotide ribosomal RNA is filed under the name uncultured bacterium. Its description in RNAcentral is "partial 16S ribosomal RNA". It matches the Rfam family "Bacterial small subunit ribosomal RNA", at positions 28 to 523 of the family's 1533-position model. The record is from RNAcentral.